CCUACGGGAGGCAGCAGUGGGGAAUAUUGGGCAAUGGGCGCAAGCCUGACCCAGCAACGCCGCGUGAAGGAAGAAGGCUUUCGGGUUGUAAACUUCUUUUCUGAGGGACGAAGAAAGUGACGGUACCUCAGGAAUAAGCCACGGCUAACUACGUGCCAGCAGCCGCGGUAAUACGUUGGUGGCAAGCGUUAUCCGGAUUUAUUGGGUGUAAAGGCCGUGUAGGCGGGAAAGCAAGUCUGAUGUGAAAACUCAGGGCUCAACCCUGAGCCUGCAUUGGAAACUGUUUUUCUUGAGUGCUGGAGAGGCAAGCGGAAGGCCGGGUGUAGCGGUGAAAUGCGUAGAUAUACGGAAGAACACCAGUGGCGAAGGCGGAUUGCUGGACAGUAACUGACGCUGAGGCGCGAAAGCGUGGGGAGCGAACAGGAUUAGAGACCCGAGUAGUC
RNAcentral lists this ribosomal RNA (443 nucleotides) under uncultured bacterium. RNAcentral's name for it is "partial 16S ribosomal RNA". It matches the Rfam family "Bacterial small subunit ribosomal RNA", at positions 338 to 795 of the family's 1533-position model. The record is from RNAcentral.